UUGACCUCGGAUCAGGUAGGGAUACCCGCUGAACUUAAGCAUAUCAAUAAGCGGAGGAAAAGAAACCAACCGGGAUUGCCCUAGUAACGGCGAGUGAAGCGGCAAGAGCUCAAAUUUGAAAGCUGGCCCCCGCGGGGUCCGCAUUGUAAUUUGCAGAGGAUGCUUCGGGAGCGGUCCCCAUCUAAGUGCCCUGGAACGGGCUGUCAUA
RNAcentral lists this ribosomal RNA (208 nucleotides) under Penicillium cf. terrigenum DTO 19H8. RNAcentral describes it as "partial 28S ribosomal RNA". It matches the Rfam family "Eukaryotic large subunit ribosomal RNA", at positions 1 to 207 of the family's 3401-position model. The record is from RNAcentral. Lineage: Eukaryota; Fungi; Ascomycota; Eurotiomycetes; Eurotiales; Aspergillaceae.